This 231-nucleotide long non-coding RNA is filed under the name Amborella trichopoda. RNAcentral describes it as "long non-coding RNA (ATRI_LNC000380)". The record is from RNAcentral. Lineage: Eukaryota; Viridiplantae; Streptophyta; Magnoliopsida; Amborellales; Amborellaceae.
UAUAAUUGGUAAAUAAGAGUUAAGCUUUAUAAUAGAGUUUAGAGAAAGGUGGAAUAAGGGUUCACUUUUUGGCACCCACUUUUGGGUCCGGGUCUUAUCCCAACGAGCCCAACGUACCGAACCACUGCAAACGCAUAUAAACUUAUUGUUGUUUGCGUUUGGUUGGCUGCACAAUUUUUCUCUAUAAUACAAGUACUUCUUUGUGGAUUCAGAGCAGCUUCUUCUCUGCUU